CCUUCGGGGGUGCUCGAGUGGCGAACGGGUGAGUAACACGUGGGUGAUCUGCCUCGUACUCUGGGAUAAGCCUGGGAAACUGGGUCUAAUACUGGAUAGGACCGCACUUUAGUGUGUGUGGUGGAAAGUUUUUUCGGUACGAGAUGAGCCCGCGGCCUAUCAGCUUGUUGGUGGGGUAAUGGCCUACCAAGGCGUCGACGGGUAGCCGGCCUGAGAGGGUGGACGGCCACAUUGGGACUGAGAUACGGCCCAGACUCCUACGGGAGGCAGCAGUGGGGAAUAUUGCACAAUGGGCGCAAGCCUGAUGCAGCGACGCCGCGUGAGGGAUGACGGCCUUCGGGUUGUAAACCUCUUUCGACAGGGACGAAGCUUUUUGUGACGGUACCUGUAUAAGAAGCACCGGCUAACUACGUGCCAGCAGCCGCGGUAAUACGUAGGGUGCGAGCGUUGUCCGGAAUUACUGGGCGUAAAGAGCUCGUAGGUGGUUUGUCGCGUCGUCUGUGAAAUUCCGGGGCUUAACUCCGGGCGUGCAGGCGAUACGGGCAUAACUUGAGUGCUGUAGGGGAGACUGGAAUUCCUGGUGUAGCGGUGGAAUGCGCAGAUAUCAGGAGGAACACCGAUGGCGAAGGCAGGUCUCUGGGCAGUAACUGACGCUGAGGAGCGAAAGCAUGGGGAGCGAACAGGAUUAGAUACCCUGGUAGUCCAUGCCGUAAACGGUGGGCGCUAGGUGUGAGGGUCUUCCACGACUUUCGUGCCGUAGCUAACGCAUUAAGCGCCCCGCCUGGGGAGUACGGCCGCAAGGCUAAAACUCAAAGGAAUUGACGGGGGCCCGCACAAGCGGCGGAGCAUGUGGAUUAAUUCGAUGCAACGCGAAGAACCUUACCUGGG
RNAcentral lists this ribosomal RNA (888 nucleotides) under Corynebacterium pseudotuberculosis. Its description in RNAcentral is "bacterial SSU rRNA". It matches the Rfam family "Bacterial small subunit ribosomal RNA", at positions 77 to 979 of the family's 1533-position model. Lineage: Bacteria; Bacillati; Actinomycetota; Actinomycetes; Mycobacteriales; Corynebacteriaceae. The record is from RNAcentral.